This 497-nucleotide ribosomal RNA is filed under the name uncultured bacterium. RNAcentral describes it as "partial 16S ribosomal RNA". The stretch from base 60 to 497 matches the Rfam family "Bacterial small subunit ribosomal RNA", at positions 39 to 507 of the family's 1533-position model. The record is from RNAcentral.
GGGGGGGGGGGGGGGGGGGGCGGGGGGGGGGGGGGGGGGGGGAGGGGGGGGGGGCUGGGGCGGCGGGGGGUAGGGGGGGGCGGGGGGGGAACGCGGGGGGAACCGACCUAUGAGAGGGGGAUAGCUUCGGGAAACCGGAGCUAAUCCCGGGUACUUUAUUGAACCGCAUGGGUCAAUAGGGAAAGGCGGGUUUGCUUGCACGUAUAAAUUGAUCCGCGCCGCAUUAGAUCUUUGUUAAGGUAACGGCUUCCCAAGGCGAACAUGCGAAGCCGACCUGAGAGGGUGAUCGGCCACACUGGAACGGAGACACGGUCCAGACUCCGACGGGAGGCAGCAGUAGGGAAUCGUCCGCAAUGGGCGAAAGCCUGACGGAGCAACGCCGAGUGAGUGAUGAAGGUCUUCGGAUCGUAAAACUCUGUUAUUAGGGAAGAACAAAUGUGUAAGUAACUAUGCACGUCUUGACGGUACCUAAUCAGAAAGCCACGGCUAACUACGUG